RNAcentral lists this ribosomal RNA (292 nucleotides) under uncultured bacterium. RNAcentral describes it as "partial 16S ribosomal RNA". It matches the Rfam family "Bacterial small subunit ribosomal RNA", at positions 505 to 796 of the family's 1533-position model. The record is from RNAcentral.
GUGUCAGCCGCCGCGGUAAUACGUAGGCAGCAAGCGUUGUUCGGAAUUACUGGGCGUAAAGAGUGUGUAGGCGGUUCUCUAAGUUCCGUGUGAAAUCUCCCGGCUUAACUGGGAGGGUGCGCGGAAGACUGGAGGGCUGGAGUAUGGGAGAGGAAAGCGGAAUUCCUGGUGUAGCGGUGAAAUGCGUAGAUAUCAGGAGGAACACCUGCGGUGUAGACAGCUUUCUGGACCAUCACUGACGCUGAGACACGAAAGCGUGGGUAGCAAACAGGAUUAGAAACCCCAGUAGUCC